AGUGAACGCUGGCGGCGCGCUUAACACAUGCAAGUCGAGCGAUAACCAUGGCUUCGGCCAUGGGGAGAGCGGCGAACGGGUGAGUAACACGUGAGCGAUCUGCCCUCGACACCGGGAUAGCCCGGGGAAACCCGGAGUAAUACCGGAUGGCCUCUCGAGCCCACGGGCUCGCUAGCAAAGAUGGCCUCGGCUUUCGGUCGAGGAGGAGCUGGCGGCGGGUUAGCUGGUUGGUGGGGUAACGGCUCACCAAGGCGACGAUCCGUAGCUGGUCUGAGAGGACGAUCAGCCACACUGGGACUGAGAAACGGCCCAGACUCCUACGGGAGGCAGCAGUGGGGAAUCUUGCGCAAUGGGCGAAAGCCUGACGCAGCGACGCCGCGUGAGGGAAGAAGGCCUUCGGGUUGUAAACCUCUUUCAGGAGGGACGAAGCCACUCGGGUUAAUACCCCAGAGGGUGACGGUACCUCCAGAAGAAGCCCCGGCUAACUACGUGCCAGCAGCCGCCGUAA
This 508-nucleotide ribosomal RNA is filed under the name uncultured bacterium. RNAcentral's name for it is "partial 16S ribosomal RNA". It matches the Rfam family "Bacterial small subunit ribosomal RNA", at positions 28 to 523 of the family's 1533-position model. The record is from RNAcentral.